Molecule: long non-coding RNA, 1424 nt
Organism: Sphaeramia orbicularis (orbiculate cardinalfish)
Lineage: Eukaryota; Metazoa; Chordata; Actinopteri; Kurtiformes; Apogonidae
Exons: 3
Source: RefSeq, a predicted model, not a curated record
UGUACACGUAUGCGUCUGUCUGACCCGUUGUGGCGCCCUCUGCUGAUUGGCUGUUCGUACAGGUGUGGAACAGGAGAUGGGGGCGGAGCCACACAGGACCUUCUGAAACUCUCUGAGGCUAACUCUGCCAUCCAGGCGGUGGGCGGGGCUUCACCUGAGCGCUGAGCUGUGGCAGACCCAUGUGUUCACACACCGCCGCCAGGACACCUCCUCCCACUAUGGCGAGCUGCACCUCCUCCUGCUGCGAACCUGCAGAACAUGUGACAUUAAACUUCUGACCAAUCAGCUGCUGCCACAGUGCAGAAGGACCAAUCAGAGCUCAAGGGAACGGUAAACAUCCAAACAUGCUUACAGUAGAAUUUUCACUAUAAACCAGAGGCGACCAUAUUUCAUUUUAAAAUUAUUGUUAAGGGUUAGUGAUAUUCUGUUGUAUUUUUUGUAGUUUUUCUUUUCUCUUCUGUGUAUGGGUAUGUUUUUCUCUGUCUCUCUCUCCUUGCAGAUUGUGUUUUGAGUGAGGAUGAGUUGCAGGUGUGGAGCUGGAGCGCUCUGUGAUGAUUGGUUCCUCAGCGGCAAGUAUUCAAAGAAAUCCCAGACAGGACUCUGCUCAUUUCUCCCAACUUCAAUUUCUACGUUUCCAGGUAGAGUGGGGAUGAGAGGCCAAUUCUAAAUGACAAGUGACGAGAAAUGAUGGAUGGUGAAGUGCCGUAUAGUGCCACGAGCUAAAAUUGCUCGAGCAAAAUAAACCGAUUUCAUAUCAGUCCGACAUUGAGAAAAAAAAAAUGAAGGGAAUUUUAUCCAUAAUUUCUAUAUGUAUUAGGUAGUUUUGUAAGAACAUAAUACAGUUUUAAUUAGUUUUUUUUUUUCUUUUAAUUAUAGUUUUUAUUUAUUUCAAUUAACGAAAAUGUUUUUUCAAUUCUAGUUUUCGUCAACGAUAAUAACCUUGCUCAGCGGUGAGCGGGAAAAUAUAAAGCUGAAUCACCCUACUUCCUGUGGACUCCUCUCUUCCCAUCCCCCUUGUUUGAGCAGCAGUCUGUAGUUUUGUUUGGAGAGCUUCUUUUUGCGAUCAGACUCAAAAGGCGGGAAUCUUUUCUUUAAGUUUUCUCCUGUUUCUCUUGGUUAGGAGUCUAGGUAAGAAUAAUGUAAUUUGGUUUUUCUUGGUUUAUGUUGGUAGGUAAGCAUAGUGGGCUUAAGGUAUUAUUCUGUUUGUUAUUUUUGUUACUUUGAUUCCCUUCCUGAUUUCAUUUUUUUUCUGUUCUUGUAUAAAUAAAUAUCUCAAAUUGCAGCUUGGUUGAUUGCUGGUCAUUUCUUUUGUAACUUGCUCUUUUUUGUUAAGGGACAUGGAAGGAGGGGAGUCUCACAUCAUGUUUGCAUCUCAGUAACCCCUAGACCGGGGGUGUCAAACUCAUUUUAGUGCAGGGGCCACA